UCCGAGACUGGAAAAGAAUAGAUAGAAGAGAACUAUAAUUCUCAACUGAAUAUGAGCUGAUUUGCCUUCUGCUUAUAUUAAAGAGCGGACUUAUGCUAAGAGUUUAGAAUUCACUUGAUGUGAUAAGGGUGCAAUUAUAAUCAUAGACGGCGAAGAGAUAUUUUAUGUAAGCAUAGGUCAUGCGAAACAAGGAUAAGACUACACAAUAGGUAUUACGUUGUCUGGAUUAGAAUACUUGGAAAAUAGAGAUUGUUCAAUGAAUGCUUACAGACUGAAU
RNAcentral lists this long non-coding RNA (277 nucleotides) under Capsicum annuum. Its description in RNAcentral is "long non-coding RNA (CANN_LNC019052)". The record is from RNAcentral. Lineage: Eukaryota; Viridiplantae; Streptophyta; Magnoliopsida; Solanales; Solanaceae.